This 622-nucleotide ribosomal RNA is filed under the name uncultured fungus. Its description in RNAcentral is "eukaryotic LSU rRNA". The stretch from base 181 to 334 matches the Rfam family "5.8S ribosomal RNA". Lineage: Eukaryota; Fungi. The record is from RNAcentral.
CAUUCGCAAUAAAUGGUUUUUUUUAUAAUUCAUAAAAAAAAAAAUCCUUUACCACCUUGUGUGCAAUGUAUGAGAAAAGGGGCCAUUUGGCUUCUUUUUUUUCUAUAUCAUCAACUCUUUGCUUUGAAACCAGUUUGUCUGAAAUAAACAUAUUCUUUGAAUAACUUAAUUCAAAAAUACAACUUUCAACAACGGAUCUCUUGGCUCUCGCAUCGAUGAAGAACGCAGCGAAAUGCGAUACGUAAUGUGAAUUGCAGAAUUCAGUGAAUCAUCGAAUCUUUGAACGCAUAUUGCGCUCUCUGGUAUUCCGGAGAGCAUGCUUGUUUGAGUAUCAGUAAACACCCUCAGAUCUUUCUAUUUUUUGUGGAAAGAUUUGGAUUUGAGUGAUCCUAACGUGACUUUCUCUCCAAAGUCAUGGCAGGCCGCUUGAAAUGCAGGUGCAGCUGAACUUUCUUCUGAGCUAAAAGCAUAUUUAUUUAGUCCUGCCUUUAUCGCUGGAUUAUUACUUUUGCUGCAGCUAACAUAAAGGUUGACUGUUCAAAUUGCUGACUGAUGCAGGAAUUUAACGGUUUUUUUUAAUCAAAAACUGUGAAUCUCGAUCUCAAAUCAAGUAAGACUACCC